RNAcentral lists this long non-coding RNA (284 nucleotides) under Setaria viridis. RNAcentral's name for it is "long non-coding RNA (SVIR_LNC006698)". Lineage: Eukaryota; Viridiplantae; Streptophyta; Magnoliopsida; Poales; Poaceae. The record is from RNAcentral.
GGAGAUCGGCCAAUUGGAAGGCUGGAGCGAUUGGGCCAAUAUGGGCUUAAAGUGGAUCAGAGAAAGAAGAUAGAGAAAGAUUGGCCUGUGGGAAUACAAUAACCAACUCCGAUACGAGUUGUGCUUGUAAAUAUUCAUUUUCGUUUAAAAUUAGAGAUAGAUCCUAGUCAGCUAGGAAAUUGGUUGUAACAGGCUAUAAAUAGCCAUCUUUAGAGAUUUGUAAAGAAUACAUCAAUCAAUACAAACAAAUCUACUUUUUCAUCGUACUUUACUUUCAAGUCGGC